This 450-nucleotide ribosomal RNA is filed under the name uncultured bacterium. RNAcentral's name for it is "bacterial SSU rRNA". It matches the Rfam family "Bacterial small subunit ribosomal RNA", at positions 29 to 526 of the family's 1533-position model. The record is from RNAcentral.
AACGAACGCUGGCGGCAGGCCUAACACAUGCAAGUCGAACGCCCCUUCGGGGGAGUGGCAGACGGGUGAGUAACGCGUGGGAACCUACCUAGUGGUACGGAAUAACUCGGGGAAACCCGUGCUAAUACCGUAUGAGCCCGAGAGGGGAAAGAUUUAUCGCCAUUAGAUGGGCCCGCGUCUGAUUAGCUAGUUGGUGAGGUAAUGGCUCACCAAGGCGACGAUCAGUAGCUGGUCUGAGAGGAUGAUCAGCCACACUGGGACUGAGACACGGCCCAGACUCCUACGGGAGGCAGCAGUGGGGAAUAUUGGACAAUGGGCGCAAGCCUGAUCCAGCCAUGCCGCGUGAGUGACGAAGGCCUUAGGGUUGUAAAGCUCUUUUGGCGGGGACGAUAAUGACGGUACCCGCAGAAUAAGCCCCGGCUAACUUCGUGCCAGCCGCCGCCGUAACAC